ACAGAGAGGCCUUUUGGGAGAAGAAGAUAUACUGGCAACUUCUAGAAGGAUUCUACCAUUUUCUUCUUUACCAUGAACAAACUUGAAAAUUAAUGGCAGCAAGUUAAAAGGAGCAAACCUCUGUCUGCAUGAAAGAGUUUGAAGAAAAAGCAAAUCACCUCUCC
Molecule: long non-coding RNA, 164 nt
Filed under: Macaca mulatta (Rhesus monkey)
Lineage: Eukaryota; Metazoa; Chordata; Mammalia; Primates; Cercopithecidae
Description: lncRNA (ENSMMUG00000052327.1)
Source: RNAcentral